Erwinia billingiae is the source of this 132-nucleotide non-coding RNA. It matches the Rfam family "Salmonella enterica Typhi npcRNA 44". Lineage: Bacteria; Pseudomonadati; Pseudomonadota; Gammaproteobacteria; Enterobacterales; Erwiniaceae. The record is from Rfam.
CUUUAACAAUCCGGAACAAGCUGAAAAUUGAAACGACAUGUCGUUUUCAUUCUCCGUAAUAAGAAUGAAAUUAACGAUAUGUUCGAGUCUCUCAAAUGCUUACAACAGCACGUGUCUUUCGGGACGCUUGUG